AGUGAACGCUGGCGGUAGGCCUAACACAUGCAAGUCGAACGGCAGCACAGUAAGAGCUUGCUCUUACGGGUGGCGAGUGGCGGACGGGUGAGGAAUACAUCGGAAUCUACUUUUUCGUGGGGGAUAACGUAGGGAAACUUACGCUAAUACCGCAUACGACCUACGGGUGAAAGCAGGGGAUCUUCGGACCUUGCGCGAUUCAAUGAGCCGAUGUCGGAUUAGCUAGUUGGCGGGGUAAAGGCCCACCAAGGCGACGAUCCGUAGCUGGUCUGAGAGGAUGAUCAGCCACACUGGAACUGAGACACGGUCCAGACUCCUACGGGAGGCAGCAGUGGGGAAUAUUGGACAAUGGGCGCAAGCCUGAUCCAGCCAUGCCGCGUGGGUGAAGAAGGCCUUCGGGUUGUAAAGCCCUUUUGUUGGGGAAGAAAAGCAGCAGGUUAAUACCUCGCUGUUCUGACGGUACCCAAAGAAUAAGCACCGGCUAACUUCGUG
RNAcentral lists this ribosomal RNA (492 nucleotides) under uncultured bacterium. Its description in RNAcentral is "partial 16S ribosomal RNA". It matches the Rfam family "Bacterial small subunit ribosomal RNA", at positions 29 to 507 of the family's 1533-position model. The record is from RNAcentral.